Molecule: non-coding RNA, 82 nt
Organism: Schistosoma haematobium
Lineage: Eukaryota; Metazoa; Platyhelminthes; Trematoda; Strigeidida; Schistosomatidae
Source: Rfam
GCCGGGAUGGCCGAAUGGUUAAGGCGGUGAACUUAAAAUCCCAUGGGGUGUCCCCGCAUGGGUUCGAACCCCACUUCCAGCA